UUAAAUUGAAGAGUUUGAUCAUGGCUCAGAUUGAACGCUGGCGGCAGGCUUAACACAUGCAAGUCGAACGGUAACAUGAGUGCUUGCACUUGAUGACGAGUGGCGGACGGGUGAGUAAGGUAUGGGGAUCUGCCGAAUGGAAGGGGACAACAGUUGGAAACGACUGCUAAUACCGUAUAAAGUUGAGAGACCAAAGCAUGGGACCUUCGGGCCAUGCGCCAUUUGAUGAACCCAUAUGGGAUUAGCUAGUAGGUGGGGUAAGGGCUCACCUAGGCGACGAUCUCUAGCUGGUCUGAGAGGAUGGCCAGCCACACUGGAACUGAGACACGGUCCAGACUCCUACGGGAGGCAGCAGUGGGGAAUAUUGCACAAUGGGGGGAACCCUGAU
Molecule: ribosomal RNA, 388 nt
Filed under: Gilliamella sp. WF3-4
Lineage: Bacteria; Pseudomonadati; Pseudomonadota; Gammaproteobacteria; Orbales; Orbaceae
Description: bacterial SSU rRNA
Rfam family: Bacterial small subunit ribosomal RNA
Source: RNAcentral